Molecule: long non-coding RNA, 299 nt
Filed under: Nicotiana benthamiana
Lineage: Eukaryota; Viridiplantae; Streptophyta; Magnoliopsida; Solanales; Solanaceae
Description: long non-coding RNA (NBEN_LNC007248)
Source: RNAcentral
UCUCUCCCAAACCCUCUUUGAAACUCCUACAAACCCUAGCCACGACCAUCAAACUACCACCAUAAUCAACCCUAAUUCAUCGCUUUCCAGAGUCAUCUAAGACCUGUAUCAGCCUUCUAUGGCCUCUACGUGUCUGGUUCUAUGGUAUCGUGACUAGACUUCGAAAGGACUUGGUCCACUCUUGGAUCAAUGACCUUUCUCCCGUCAUCUCUGACCUUUCUCCGGCCAGCCAUGGCCAUUCGAGUCACACCUUUGACUCUCUUGUUUAGAUCUGUGACUUUCAAAGCUUUUCUCACUGC